GUCCACUAUAUUUCCCUCAGGAAUUCCAAGUUUUGCACAAAAGUCCACAAACUUUUCCCUAAUUUCUGUCCUCACAUCCCGCUUUUUGCCAAGGAGAUGGA
Perognathus longimembris pacificus (Pacific pocket mouse) is the source of this 101-nucleotide long non-coding RNA. RefSeq lists it as uncharacterized. NCBI's taxonomy places the organism in Eukaryota, Metazoa, Chordata, Mammalia, Rodentia, Heteromyidae. The record is from RefSeq and is a predicted model, not a curated record. The transcript is spliced from 3 exons.